RNAcentral lists this ribosomal RNA (253 nucleotides) under uncultured bacterium. RNAcentral describes it as "partial 16S ribosomal RNA". It matches the Rfam family "Bacterial small subunit ribosomal RNA", at positions 524 to 776 of the family's 1533-position model. The record is from RNAcentral.
UACGUAGGGUGCGAGCGUUGUCCGGAAUUAUUGGGCGUAAAGAGCUUGUAGGCGGUUUGUCGCGUCUGCUGUGAAAAUCCGGGGCUCAACCCCGGACUUGCAGUGGGUACGGGCAGGCUAGAGUGUGGUAGGGGAGACUGGAAUUCCUGGUGUAGCGGUGAAAUGCGCAGAUAUCAGGAGGAACACCGAUGGCGAAGGCAGGUCUCUGGGCCACUACUGACGCUGAGGCGCGAAAGCCAGGGGAGCAAACGGG